Molecule: ribosomal RNA, 589 nt
Filed under: uncultured bacterium
Lineage: Bacteria
Description: bacterial SSU rRNA
Rfam family: Bacterial small subunit ribosomal RNA
Source: RNAcentral
ACGGGUGAGUAAUGCCUAGGAAUCUGCCUGGUAGUGGGGGACAACGCUUCGAAAGGAACGCUAAUACCGCAUACGUCCUACGGGAGAAAGCAGGGGACCUUCGGGCCUUGCGCUAUCAGAUGAGCCUAGGUCAGAUUAGCUAGUUGGUGAGGUAAUGGCUCACCAAGGCGACGAUCCGUAACUGGUCUGAGAGGAUGAUCAGUCACACUGGAACUGAGACACGGUCCAGACUCCUACGGGAGGCAGCAGUGGGGAAUAUUGGACAAUGGGCGAAAGCCUGAUCCAGCCAUGCCGCGUGUGUGAAGAAGGUCUUCGGAUUGUAAAGCACUUUAAGUUGGGAGGAAGGGUUGUAGAUUAAUACUCUGCAAUUUUGACGUUACCGACAGAAUAAGCACCGGCUAACUCUGUGCCAGCAGCCGCGGUAAUACAGAGGGUGCAAGCGUUAAUCGGAAUUACUGGGCGUAAAGCGCGCGUAGGUGGCUUGUUAAGUUGGAUGUGAAAUCCCCGGGCUCAACCUGGGAACUGCAUCCAAAACUGGCAAGCUAGAGUAUGGUAGAGGGUGGUGGAAUUUCCUGUGUAGCGGUGAAAU